RNAcentral lists this ribosomal RNA (492 nucleotides) under uncultured bacterium. RNAcentral describes it as "partial 16S ribosomal RNA". It matches the Rfam family "Bacterial small subunit ribosomal RNA", at positions 29 to 507 of the family's 1533-position model. The record is from RNAcentral.
AGUGAACGCUGGCGGUAGGCCUAACACAUGCAAGUCGAACGGCAGCACAGUAAGAGCUUGCUCUUACGGGUGGCGAGUGGCGGACGGGUGAGGAAUACAUCGGAAUCUACUUUUUCGUGGGGGAUAACGUAGGGAAACUUACGCUAAUACCGCACACGACCUACGGGUGAAAGCAGGGGAUCUUCGGACCUUGCGCGAUUGAAUGAGCCGAUGUCGGAUUAGCUAGUUGGCGGGGUAAAGGCCCACCAAGGCGACGAUCCGUAGCUGGUCUGAGAGGAUGAUCAGCCACACUGGAACUGAGACACGGUCCAGACUCCUACGGGAGGCAGCAGUGGGGAAUAUUGGACAAUGGGCGCAAGCCUGAUCCAGCCAUACCGCGUGGGUGAAGAAGGCCUUCGGGUUGUAAAGCCCUUUUGUUGGGAAAGAAAAGCAGCAGGUUAAUACCCCGCUGUUCUGACGGUACCCAAGGAAUAAGCACCGGCUAACUUCGUG